AAAAACUUAGUUAAAUAAUAACAUUAGCUUGUCAAGCUAAAAUUAUUCACAGAAUAGUUUUUA
RNAcentral lists this transfer RNA (63 nucleotides) under Hypothenemus sp. BMNH 1039866. RNAcentral describes it as "tRNA-Asp". Lineage: Eukaryota; Metazoa; Arthropoda; Insecta; Coleoptera; Curculionidae. The record is from RNAcentral.